This 653-nucleotide ribosomal RNA is filed under the name Escherichia coli. Its description in RNAcentral is "partial 23S ribosomal RNA". It matches the Rfam family "Bacterial large subunit ribosomal RNA", at positions 717 to 1367 of the family's 2925-position model. Lineage: Bacteria; Pseudomonadati; Pseudomonadota; Gammaproteobacteria; Enterobacterales; Enterobacteriaceae. The record is from RNAcentral.
GAAACCCGGUGAUCUAGCCAUGGGCAGGUUGAAGGUUGGGUAACACUAACUGGAGGACCGAACCGACUAAUGUUGAAAAAUUAGCGGAUGACUUGUGGCUGGGGGUGAAAGGCCAAUCAAACCGGGAGAUAGCUGGUUCUCCCCGAAAGCUAUUUAGGUAGCGCCUCGUGAAUUCAUCUCCGGGGGUAGAGCACUGUUUCGGCAAGGGGGUCAUCCCGACUUACCAACCCGAUGCAAACUGCGAAUACCGGAGAAUGUUAUCACGGGAGACACACGGCGGGUGCUAACGUCCGUCGUGAAGAGGGAAACAACCCAGACCGCCAGCUAAGGUCCCAAAGUCAUGGUUAAGUGGGAAACGAUGUGGGAAGGCCCAGACAGCCAGGAUGUUGGCUUAGAAGCAGCCAUCAUUUAAAGAAAGCGUAAUAGCUCACUGGUCGAGUCGGCCUGCGCGGAAGAUGUAACGGGGCUAAACCAUGCACCGAAGCUGCGGCAGCGACACUAUGUGUUGUUGGGUAGGGGAGCGUUCUGUAAGCCUGUGAAGGUGGCCUGUGAGGGUUGCUGGAGGUAUCAGAAGUGCGAAUGCUGACAUAAGUAACGAUAAAGCGGGUGAAAAGCCCGCUCGCCGGAAGACCAAGGGUUCCUGUCCAACGUUA